GAUGAACGCUGGCGGCGUGCCUAAUACAUGCAAGUCGAGCGAACAGACGAGGAGCUUGCUCCUCUGACGUUAGCGGCGGACGGGUGAGUAACACGUGGAUAACCUACCUAUAAGACUGGGAUAACUUCGGGAAACCGGAGCUAAUACCGGAUAAUAUAUUGAACCGCAUGGUUCAAUAGUGAAAGACGGUUUUGCUGUCACUUAUAGAUGGAUCCGCGCCGCAUUAGCUAGUUGGUAAGGUAACGGCUUACCAAGGCAACGAUGCGUAGCCGACCUGAGAGGGUGAUCGGCCACACUGGAACUGAGACACGGUCCAGACUCCUACGGGAGGCAGCGGUAGGGAAUCUUCCGCAAUGGGCGAAAGCCUGACGGAGCAACGCCGCGUGAGUGAUGAGGGUCUUCGGAUCGUAAAACUCUGUUAUUAGGGAAGAACAAAUGUGUAAGUAACUAUGCAUGUCUUGACGGUACCUAAUCAGAAAGCCACGGCUAACUACGUG
RNAcentral lists this ribosomal RNA (497 nucleotides) under uncultured bacterium. RNAcentral's name for it is "partial 16S ribosomal RNA". It matches the Rfam family "Bacterial small subunit ribosomal RNA", at positions 28 to 507 of the family's 1533-position model. The record is from RNAcentral.